RNAcentral lists this ribosomal RNA (253 nucleotides) under uncultured bacterium. RNAcentral's name for it is "partial 16S ribosomal RNA". It matches the Rfam family "Bacterial small subunit ribosomal RNA", at positions 524 to 776 of the family's 1533-position model. The record is from RNAcentral. RNAcentral also lists the same sequence under 1 other name.
UACAGAGGUGGCAAGCGUUGUUCGGAAUUACUGGGCGUAAAGGGCGCGUAGGCGGCCUUCUUAGUCGGACGUGAAAUCCCCAGGCUCAACUUGGGAACUGCGUCCGAUACUGGAGGGCUCGAGUGCGGGAGAGGGAUGUGGAAUUCCAGGUGUAGCGGUGAAAUGCGUAGAUAUCUGGAGGAACACCGGUGGCGAAGGCGGCAUCCUGGACCGACACUGACGCUGAUGCGCGAAAGCUAGGGGAGCAAACGGG